This 158-nucleotide ribosomal RNA is filed under the name Lepidium appelianum. Its description in RNAcentral is "5.8S ribosomal RNA". It matches the Rfam family "5.8S ribosomal RNA". Rfam says of the family: 5.8S ribosomal RNA (5.8S rRNA) is a component of the large subunit of the eukaryotic ribosome. The record is from RNAcentral. Lineage: Eukaryota; Viridiplantae; Streptophyta; Magnoliopsida; Brassicales; Brassicaceae.
ACGACUCUCGGCAACGGAUAUCUCGGCUCUCGCAUCGAUGAAGAACGUAGCGAAAUGCGAUACUUGGUGUGAAUUGCAGAAUCCCGUGAACCAUCGAGUCUUUGAACGCAAGUUGCGCCCCAAGCCUUUUGGCCGAGGGCACGUCUGCCUGGGUGUCA